AACGUAGGGGGCAAGCGUUGUCCGGAAUCACUGGGCGUAAAGGGCGCGUAGGCGGCAAUAUAAGUCAGGUGUGAAAAGUGAGGGCUCAACCGUUAGAGUGCACCUGAUACUGUAUAGCUUGAGUAUGGGAGAGGGAAGCGGAAUUCCUAGUGUAGCGGUGAAAUGCGUAGAUAUUAGGAAGAACACCAGUGGCGAAGGCGGCUUUCUGGCCCAAAACUGACGCUGAGGCGCGAAAGCGUGGGGAGCAAACAGG
Molecule: ribosomal RNA, 253 nt
Filed under: uncultured bacterium
Lineage: Bacteria
Description: partial 16S ribosomal RNA
Rfam family: Bacterial small subunit ribosomal RNA
Source: RNAcentral